This 468-nucleotide ribosomal RNA is filed under the name uncultured bacterium. RNAcentral describes it as "partial 16S ribosomal RNA". It matches the Rfam family "Bacterial small subunit ribosomal RNA", at positions 28 to 507 of the family's 1533-position model. The record is from RNAcentral.
GACGAACGCUGGCGGCGUGCUUAACACAUGCAAGUCGAACGGAAAGGCCCUGCUUUUGUGGGGUGCUCGAGUGGCGAACGGGUGUGUAACACGUGAGUAACCUGCCCUUGACUUUGGGAUAACUUCAGGAAACUGGGGCUAAUACCGCAUAGGAGCUCCUGCUGCAUGGUGGGGGUUGGAAAGUUUCGGCGGUUGGGGUUGGACUCGCGGCUUAUCAGCUUGUUGGUGGGGUAGUGGCUUACCAAGGCUUUGACGGGUAGCCGGCCUGAGAGGGUGACCGGCCACAUUGGGACUGGGAUACGGCCCAGACUAGUACGGGAGGCAGCAGAGGGGAAUAUUACACAAUGGGCGGAAGCCUGAUGCAGCAACGCCGCGUGCGGGAUGACGGCAUUCGGGUUGUAAACCGCUUUCGCCUGUGACGAAGCGAGAGUGACGGUAAUGGGUAAAGAAGCACCGGCUAACUACGUG